ACAGGUGCUGCAUGGCUGUCGUCAGCUCGUGUCGUGAGAUGUUGGGUUAAGUCCCGCAACGAGCGCAACCCUCGCCUUCAGUUGCCAUCGGGUAGAGCCGGGCACUUUAAGGAACUGCCGGUGACAAGCCGGAGGAAGGUGGGGAUGACGUCAAGUCCUCAUGGCCCUUACGGGCUGGGCUACACACGUGCUACAAUGGCGAUGACAAUGGGUUGCGAUCCCGCGAGGGGGAGCUAAUCUCAGAAAGUCGUCUCAGUUCGGAUUGUUCUCUGCAACUCGAGAGCAUGAAGUCGGAAUCGCUAGUAAUCGUGGAUCAGCAUGCCACGGUGAAUACGUUCCCGGGCCUUGUACACACCGCCCGUCACACCAUGGGAGUUGGUUCUA
Molecule: ribosomal RNA, 384 nt
Filed under: uncultured Alphaproteobacteria bacterium
Lineage: Bacteria; Pseudomonadati; Pseudomonadota; Alphaproteobacteria
Description: bacterial SSU rRNA
Rfam family: Bacterial small subunit ribosomal RNA
Source: RNAcentral